UGUCCAGCAGGGGGAGCUCGCGGACCAGAGGCGGUAACACACCUAUGUCUAAAGCUUGGAAGGUGAUGAAAACUGUUGUGAAAAACUGCAACAAAACGAAGUCAAAAAAACGAACUAACAGUUAGAUACUGUUUGAAGGUACUAGAACGAUGGUAAAUAUCCAAAAUGAAUGGAGAGGGGGAUGGAUGAAGCAAUGUGUUAGAGUCAGGCAACCAGGACGGGGCCAGCUGGAAAUAAGAGGGGGACUUGGGAUCUUAUUUGGAAUGAAGCUUCUGGAAGGUUUUUGGAGAGUUAGGAUCUGAUUUAGGUUUUAUGGAGCCAUUUCUAAUGGCCUUGCCGAGAACACAGUAAGGCAAGGCCGGCAUCAGGAACGGUGGAGAGGCUUUAAUUGUGGAGGUGGCAGCUGCCAGAGGUGGGACAGGGUGCCCCCGAGAGGCAAAGUCACUGUUUGCACCUGGCUCCACAUGCUAAGAAUCUUUGCAUGAAACAAAGUCCUGGAGUUGUAGCAACUCAUAAAUAACCUUGCUGAAGCCUUCAACUGGUGACCCAGCAGCUUCCAGCUUGUCAAUAGAUGUGAUUGAGUGUAAAGCCUCUUGGCAGCCAUCGUGGAGCUAAGGCAACCCCUGCAGAAGUUACCUCCACAGAGGAUCGACUGCCCACAAUUCCUGGCUGGGGCACCAAAGCCUCAGGAGACAAGCUGAGGCUUUAGACAAACAUCAUACCUUCCCCAAAAUGGUCAUGAAUUGAGGUAAGCCAGAGAGCAUGGUGAGCCUGAGACCUGCUGAUGAAUGGCAGGCUUUCCAGCCAAGAAUAUUACUGGAUCUUUCUUGUCCUGAUUCGGCUUCCUAACUUGACCUUACUUGAAAACAGAAUGGGCUAUUUCGAGGUUGAGAGUGAGGAUUUAUUGCCACGGAAUUUGUGAAUUAGUUUUCUUCUCUAUUGGGACCUGAGCCUUUGGUUCGUCUUCAGUGGGGUUUGACCUUGAACCACAUGCUGCCUGCGCUGCCCUUGACACCGGACCAAGUAUCUAGCUUCAGAAUGGAAGAUUGGAGAGCUUCCUCUGUCUGUCCUGCUGCUUCCUAAAUAGACCCAGAUAGUAACACUGAAAUGGUGAAAACAAGAGUAUUGCUUUUAUCAGCCUUGUGGUUUCCAACCAAAGCCAACGAUACAUGGGAAAAGGGAAUGUGGAAAAGCUCAUGACUGUACUCAACCAACAAAGCCAAGCUCACAUACUCUUGUAUGACCUGCCGGUGUAAGCCAAGCAAACCUUUCCUUCCCUCAGCUGCCUUUGGUCCAGGCAUUUUUCUAACUGUGAACUUCAUAUUUCGUUUAUAUUGCUAACUCCGAUUUAAGAAAUGACAUCAGUUUAAGUAAUGUGAUCAGAAAGAAAGCUUUUCUAUGCGAGAUCAAUCUAGUCAACACUCCAGCUUGGACUGAGAGGGGCUCAUGAGCUCUUGCCCCUAGCUGAGGAGCUGGUGACAGUUUGUGGCCUCUGGGGGACAUUAUCUUAAGAGCAUAACCCAUGCUCUAUGACCAUGCGUUCUACUUUGCUUUCUGUUGCUCUGAUAUAAGCACCAUGACCAAAAGCAACGUGGGAAGGAAAGGGUUGAUUUGGCUUACACUUCUGAGUCACAGCCCACCAUUGAAGGAAAUCGGGACAGGAACUCAAGCAGGCACUGAAUCAGACACCACAAAGGAACCACAAGCUCUAUGGCUUGCAAAUCUGCUUUCUUAUACAACCUAGGAUCACCUACCUACCUGUGGAUAACACCACCCACAGUAGGCUGGACCCUCCCACACCAAUUAGCAAUCAGGAAACUGCCUUGUACAGACAUUCUCACAGAUUCAUCUGAGGGAGGCAAUUUGAAGAGUCCCUCUUCUGGAUAUGUCUAAGUUUGUGUCAGGUUGACAAAAAUGAACAAGCACACCACAGGGGCUGUGUGACUGUGCAGAGAUAUUUGUAAUGGACGUAACUCAUUAUGAAUGGCAGCUGUGGACAUCUGAAAGCAAAUGUUAACCACUAGAACCAUGGCAGAAUCCUCCCUGAAAAAUUCAAUGUCAAUAGCAAUUUAAUUUAAUUUGAUAUAAUAAAAUUUAAAAUUCAGUUCCUUGGACACAUAAGUCACAUUCCAAAUGCUCAAGAUGCACUUGUCUAGUGGCUGCUGAACGAGGCAGCCCGUUCUAUGGAACCCUCUUUGACUUAUCGAGGCUGUUGUGGUUGAAUCUUGUUUUGUUUGAUAUCAUACAUUUUACUCUUUGGUUUGCUUUUGUUUACUUUU
This 2279-nucleotide long non-coding RNA is filed under the name Cricetulus griseus (Chinese hamster). RNAcentral describes it as "lncRNA (ENSCGRG00015017462.2)". The record is from RNAcentral. Lineage: Eukaryota; Metazoa; Chordata; Mammalia; Rodentia; Cricetidae.